This 254-nucleotide ribosomal RNA is filed under the name uncultured bacterium. Its description in RNAcentral is "partial 16S ribosomal RNA". It matches the Rfam family "Bacterial small subunit ribosomal RNA", at positions 524 to 776 of the family's 1533-position model. The record is from RNAcentral.
UACGUAGGGUGCGAGCGUUAAUCGGAAUUACUGGGCGUAAAGCGUGCGCAGGCGGUUCGUCGUGUCCGAUGUGAAAGCCCCGGGCUUAACCCGGAAAGGUCAGCCGAUACUGCGGGGCUAGAGUGCAGAAGGGGCAACUGGAAUUCUCGGUGUAGCGGUGAAAUGCGUAGAUAUCGAGAGGAACACCUGCGGCGAAGGCGGGUUGCUGGGCUGACACUGACGCUGACAGCGCGAAAGCUAGGGGAGCGAACGGG